RNAcentral lists this unclassified non-coding RNA (529 nucleotides) under Hevea brasiliensis (rubber tree). Lineage: Eukaryota; Viridiplantae; Streptophyta; Magnoliopsida; Malpighiales; Euphorbiaceae. The record is from RNAcentral.
AUUGGAGUUCUACUGAUGGAGAUAUGCAAUCUGAUUUGAGCCCUAAAAAUCCCUUGUCGCUUAAGCUUGCCAAAACUGAAGCCUUAAAGAAACGGCUAGACUCCGAGAAGACUAAAUAUUUGAACUCAGUCCAGGUUACCAGAGUCAUGACUCUAAACAAACUGCAAACAGGCCUCCCUAAUGUAUUCCAGGCAUUAAUGGGAUUUUCAAGUGCUUCUGCUCAGGCCUUUGAGGCUGUUCACAGCCAUGGCAGACCAGCAGUUGAUUGUGAUGCAUCAGAAAGCUCAAUGAGCUAAAUUUGUUAGAAAGAGAGAUGAAGUGGGAACUAGGUACACGCUUUGAAAAUCCAUUUGGUCAAUAUAUAAGCCAUAGGUGCAAGUUUUUUUGUGAUAUUCAAGGAUGCAGAUCAAACUACAACAAAAUUUAAAAUUUGUUUAUAGUGGCGGAUGUUAUUGAUUCAAUCAAUUAUACUGGACACGGUACAGUUGCCAGUCGCUGUGAUGUCAAUGUAAUGAAGUCCUACACUUGA